This 494-nucleotide ribosomal RNA is filed under the name uncultured bacterium. Its description in RNAcentral is "partial 16S ribosomal RNA". It matches the Rfam family "Bacterial small subunit ribosomal RNA", at positions 28 to 507 of the family's 1533-position model. The record is from RNAcentral.
GACGAACGCUGGCGGCGUGCUUAAUACAUGCAAGUCGAACGGUGGAGCGCCUUCCUUUCUGGUCGGUGUGGAGGAGUGGCGAAGGGGGGAGUAACACGUUAGUAACCUUCCCCCUCUUGCUGGAUAACCGCAAGAAAGAGUGGCUAAUACGGGAUAUUCUGAGUCUGUCGCAUGAUGGGUCUGGGAAAGAUAUUGUUUCGGUGGGGGAUGGGCUCGCGGCCUAUCAGCUUGUUGGUGAGGUGAUGGCCUACCAAGGCGAUGACGGGUAGCCGGCCUGAGAGGGUGGGCGGUCACGCAGGGGCGGCGCCGCCCCGACGCCUACGGCGGGAGGCAGCAGGGGAGAUUCUUGCACGGUGGGAGGAAGGCUGAUGCAGCGCCGCGGGAGGGAGGAUGGACUCCGUCGCGUUGUGAACCGCUUUCGGCAGAGAACCAGUGCUGCCGCGUUUGUGCGUGGGUUGACGGUAGCUAGAUAAGAAGCGCCGGCUAACUACGUG